RNAcentral lists this ribosomal RNA (300 nucleotides) under Acanthamoeba genotype T4. Its description in RNAcentral is "SSU rRNA". The stretch from base 1 to 249 matches the Rfam family "Eukaryotic small subunit ribosomal RNA", at positions 867 to 1115 of the family's 1831-position model. The record is from RNAcentral. Lineage: Eukaryota; Discosea; Longamoebia; Acanthamoebidae.
GAUUAAUAGGGAUAGUUGGGGGCAUUAAUAUUUAAUUGUCAGAGGUGAAAUUCUUGGAUUUAUGAAAGAUUAACUUCUGCGAAAGCAUCUGCCAAGGAUGUUUUCAUUAAUCAAGAACGAAAGUUAGGGGAUCGAAGACGAUCAGAUACCGUCGUAGUCUUAACCAUAAACGAUGCCGACCAGCGAUUAGGAGACGUUGAAUACAAAACACCACCAUCGGCGCGGUCGUCCUUGGCGUGUCUCGGCUUCACGGCUGGGGCGCGCGAGGGCGGUUUAGCCCGGUGGCACCGGUGAAUGACU